This 253-nucleotide ribosomal RNA is filed under the name uncultured bacterium. Its description in RNAcentral is "partial 16S ribosomal RNA". It matches the Rfam family "Bacterial small subunit ribosomal RNA", at positions 524 to 776 of the family's 1533-position model. The record is from RNAcentral.
GACGAACCGUGCAAACGUUAUUCGGAAUCACUGGGCAUAAAGGGCGCGUAGGCGGCUCCAAAAGUCAGGGGUGAAAUCCGGCAGCUUAACUGUCGCAGUGCCUUUGAUACUGUGGAGCUAGAGGGAGGUAGGGGUCUGUGGAACUUCCGGUGGAGCGGUGAAAUGCGUUGAUAUCGGAAGGAACGCCGGUGGCGAAAGCGACGGACUGGAUCUCUUCUGACGCUGAGGCGCGAAAGCCAGGGGAGCGAACAGG